Molecule: transfer RNA, 66 nt
Filed under: Brachymna tenuis
Lineage: Eukaryota; Metazoa; Arthropoda; Insecta; Hemiptera; Pentatomidae
Description: tRNA-Trp
Source: RNAcentral
AAAGUUUUAAGUUAAAUUAAACUAUUAACCUUCAAAGUUUAAAAUACAUAUUAUGUGUAAGCUUUA